UUAAUGAGCGGUUGAUGAUAUAUCUUCUAAACCGCAGGUCGCGCGUUCGAAUCGCGCAGGAGGCACCA
Molecule: transfer RNA, 68 nt
Filed under: Lancefieldella parvula DSM 20469
Lineage: Bacteria; Bacillati; Actinomycetota; Coriobacteriia; Coriobacteriales; Atopobiaceae
Description: tRNA-Und (NNN) (tRNA-Und-NNN-1-1)
Source: RNAcentral